This 250-nucleotide ribosomal RNA is filed under the name uncultured bacterium. RNAcentral describes it as "partial 16S ribosomal RNA". It matches the Rfam family "Bacterial small subunit ribosomal RNA", at positions 57 to 305 of the family's 1533-position model. The record is from RNAcentral.
GCAAGUCGAACGAGGGCUAUUCCUUCGGGAGUAGACCUAGUGGCGAAAGGGCGAGUAAUGCGUUUCUGACGUACCCAGAGGAUUGGGAUAGCCCGGGGAAACCCAGAGUAAUACCAGAUGAGAUCACCGGCUCGAAAUGCCGGUGAUGAAAGGCUUCGGUCGCCUUUGGAGCGGGAAACGUCCUAUCAGGUUGUUGGUGGGGUAACGGCCUACCAAGCCUUAGACGGGUAGCGGGUGUGAGAGCAUGACC